Non-coding RNA from Pelobates cultripes (western spadefoot toad), 2747 nucleotides. The record is from the annotation of a GenBank genome assembly. NCBI's taxonomy places the organism in Eukaryota, Metazoa, Chordata, Amphibia, Anura, Pelobatidae.
UUUUUAUGGUACAGAGCUGGCCUUUUCACAAUAAAGUAAUUAGGGGGAAACACCACUUUUUUCUGUUACUUGGAAUUUGUGGCAUCAUAACAGAACAUUUCUUUUCAUUUACAUUGCCAGAGGCAAUAGACUGACGUUUAGUCUUACCAGCCCGCAAUCCAUGUAUCAUUUACUCUAACACUAUCUAUAGCUGGAGGGAUGCAGAAGCCAUUAAGUCCUCUAAGCAGAACUCCUUGUGCAGCGGAAACAUCUCUACGACUGCAGACUUGUCAUUUAGCCUUCUGGGCUCUGAUUACAUCCUCUGCUCUCCAGAUUCCUGCUGCAGCUCUACUGACCAUUUAUAUUUACUAUGGUUUAUGUUCCACAGCCUGUUUUUCAGUCAUGGCUUAAAGAGGACCAGUCCUGUUUGGCCUUGACUUCCAAAUAUAUAAAUAAUGAAAGCAAGAGGGCAUGCAUACACUACAAGGCUGCUGACAUUGACAAAUUCACACAACACACAAGAUCUAGAACACACACCCGUACACCGAACAGCAUCUUCAUUCAAAUCUUAUAGAAUGUAAUAGUUUUUUUAACACCUAAGGUAAAAAUAAUAGGGUUUAGUUACAGAAUGUGAUCAUACAUACAUUGCAGAAGCCUGCCACAGUGUCACUGUAACCCAUUCUUGGCAGGUCCUACUCUAGCAACCUAAUGCCUGCUCUUAUGAGAUUAAUCCACUUACUUGGGAAAUGCUUCCUCUUGGGAGACUCUGCGAUGCAAGGUUAAAUAGGGCCCUGGAAUGAACCUUGCAUUGCAAAUACACUAUUAAAUUCUGUGAGGUUUAAAUGAAGUUGCUAUUUGGUGGAUGGGUGAGUGCGUUGGAACUUGGCAUCAACCUUGUAGUGUAUGCAUGUUCAGUUAAAUGCAGGCCUCUUAGUUUCAUAUACAAACAUAUAUACACACACUUUAAAGGGCCACUACAGCCACCAAAACAACUUGAGCUUAAUGAAGCAGUUUUGGUGUAUAGAUCAUACCCCUGCAAUCUCACUGCUCAAUUCGCUGCCAUUUAGGCAUUAAUACACUUUGUUUAUGCAGCCCGGGUCACACCUCCCUGCAUGUAACUUACACAGUCUUAUCAAACACUUCCUGAAAAUAAUGAUUAAACUUUAUUGCAUAUUCUGCGAGAGAGAGAUUGUGUAUUUUGUUUUUUUUUUUCCUCCCAAAGCAAGUUGUGACAGAUCCAUCUGUAAGACUAGUGUGGCUGAAUCGUAUAGUUUGCCUCCUUUCGCGGAAUUGCCUGUCCGUAUGCCUCUAUUCGUCUUUUUGGACUUAUAACCAAAUGAAACUACCGAACGGAUGGCCACCCAGAAGAGAAGUGUGCUGCUGGUUAACCUCUUGGCCUCAAUUAGAACGUUGUGGUUAACCGCAGACACCUCUUAAUUAUAACCAAACGCAGGGUGGUUGUCGUUCGUAUGCCGACCACGAGGUGGCGGACAUUUUAAAACAUGCGAAAGACCAGCGGUGUUCGGCGCAGAUUCUAUGGAACUAAAAAUGGACACCUUAUCUACCGAACACCGCUGAGACUACCGACCGCCCUUCUCAUUCGUCAAGGCAUGCGAACACCGUUCCGAGUUUGGAUUAUACGAAUGGACUUAACCCAGAUAGCCAUCCCAUGGAGUCAAUCGCAUACCGAAAGACUGUAGAAGACUUUAACUCCAUGGCGAUUGAACUGUGCGUAUGGGUUCUGAGCGCUAUUCGGUAGGAAUAUGCACUCAGAUCAAGGCUAUCUGGGGAUACGUUGCACGAAUGUAAUAUGUUAGGUAGUUGUAUAAUUACUUAUUUUUAUGUGUUUUUUAUGUUUCAUUUAAAAUGGCGAUUUGCCUCUGUCCUGGGAGAUAAUUGAAUUACUUCUCAAUUAUCCCCAGGGCAGAGAGGAGGAAACCAAGAUGCAUUGUGGGAAUAUUCUGUGCCUGUAUGUCCUAAAGUGCUACAUGUCUGUCUGUAACUACAGUCUCCCAUUUGGUCCCCUAGGGGAGUGUCCACCAAGUGGGAGACCUGCAUAAAUACGGGCAGGUGGCCCACAGUAAAGCCAGUUCUUGUUUUACCCUCAAUGCGGAGCUUGGUCUCGUUAUUGAUUUACUACACACGGUUAGCGACUGAUUGCUGGGAACGUAAGCCGCUUGGAAGAUAUAUUUGAUCGACUGUUAGCCGCGAUUCGUGGAUUUAUUGUUCGGGAGUUUGGAGAACUCGUACGGAUCCCGUUCGGGAGAUUGGCGCAUUCCCCUGGCUUCAGUUCGUGCGGUUGAGGUAUAUACAAAUUGAGCCUGCAUUACUGAGGAAGGGGAAGCUUAACUAAACGGCGGUUUCACUCCUGUGUGCCAGGGGUGUCUUAACACAAGUUAACAUGUGAUUGAAAUUGAAACCAUUUUUUUUUAAUGCAGGCUGUGUGCAUCACAGCCAAGGACAGAAAGAAACGCAAUUUAAUUGCUAAAUAGCAGAGAAUUGUGCAGUUAGACUGCUUGAGGUCAUGGUCUAUACACCCAAACUGCUUCAGCUAAACUUGUUUUCAUGCCUAUAGUGCCUAUAAAAUGCAUAAUAACAUGUUCAUUGCACCACAGCAUUAUGGGAACAUUUUAGUUGCGUGAAAACCACACUAAGCCUAAGGUGUAUUCACUAAUUUGAGAUAUGGGGAGUUGAAACGUUCUACAUUUUUAAAUUCCAUUAGCUAUUUGAUUUUAGUUUAUUGAAUAAAAUAUAUAUUAACAAAAAAU